RNAcentral lists this ribosomal RNA (253 nucleotides) under uncultured bacterium. RNAcentral describes it as "partial 16S ribosomal RNA". It matches the Rfam family "Bacterial small subunit ribosomal RNA", at positions 524 to 776 of the family's 1533-position model. The record is from RNAcentral.
UACGUAGGGUGCAAGCGUUGUCCGGAAUUAUUGGGCGUAAAGAGCUCGUAGGCGGUCUGUCGCGUCGGCUGUGAAAACCUGGGGCUCAACUCCGGGCCUGCAGCCGAUACGGGCUGACUAGAAUUCGGUAGGGGAGACUGGAAUUCCUGGUGUAGCGGUGAAAUGCGCAGAUAUCAGGAGGAACACCGGUGGCGAAGGCGGGUCUCUGGGCCGAUAUUGACGCUGAGGAGCGAAAGCGUGGGGAGCAAACAGG